RNAcentral lists this ribosomal RNA (485 nucleotides) under uncultured bacterium. RNAcentral's name for it is "partial 16S ribosomal RNA". It matches the Rfam family "Bacterial small subunit ribosomal RNA", at positions 29 to 508 of the family's 1533-position model. The record is from RNAcentral.
AUUGAACGCUGGCGGCAUGCUUUACACAUGCCAGUCGAACGGCAGCGCGGGCUUCGGCCUGGCGGCGAGUGGCGAACGGGUGAGUAAUACAUCGGAACGUGCCCAGUAGUGGGGGAUAGCUCGGCGAAAGCCGGAUUAAUACCGCAUACGACCUGAGGGUGAAAGCGGGGGAUCUUCGGACCUCGCGCUAUUGGAGCGGCCGAUGGCAGAUUAGCUAGUUGGUGGGGUAAAGGCCUACCAAGGCGACGAUCUGUAGCUGGUCUGAGAGGACGACCAGCCACACUGGGACUGAGACACGGCCCAGACUCCUACGGGAGGCAGCAGUGGGGAAUUUUGGACAAUGGGCGAAAGCCUGAUCCAGCAAUGCCGCGUGUGUGAUGAAGGCCUUCGGGUUGUAAAGCACUUUUGGCGGGAACGAAAAGGACUGUGCCAAUACCACGGUUCGAUGACGGUACCCGCAGAAUAAGCACCGGCUAACUACGUGC